Molecule: non-coding RNA, 69 nt
Organism: Ictidomys tridecemlineatus (thirteen-lined ground squirrel)
Lineage: Eukaryota; Metazoa; Chordata; Mammalia; Rodentia; Sciuridae
Source: Rfam
GGGGUUGUGGCUCAGUGGUAGAGCACUUGCCUAGCAUGUGCAAGGCCCUGGGUUCAAUCCUCAGCACCA